AUUAUUGUUUGUUUGUUUCAGGUCUGAAAGUGAUCGAAAAAUGUUGAACCCAGAAACCGGUUGUUAUUCGGAAUCCGUGCGAGCAUGGGAUUGGAACGUGACGGGCAACGUACGCGUACAAGAGUCCUGGCCUACGUGAGCGGAUUUCCUCGCGGCUAAUUCGAACUUCUCCAACGACGAAGGAUCAGGAUCCUUGAUUGUUUCGCGCCUCACGGUAUCAAUGCCCGGAGGAAACAUACAGGAUGCCCGUGGAUUAUUAUAGUGCGAGAUCUACUUCGUCAAGGAGAUAUUUCGUUAACGAUUAAGAUGCACCACUUCGAGUUCGACGACGAGUCCCGGAGAAGAAGAUUGAAGGAAACGAAAAUGAAGAAAAAGAAUAAGAAGAAGAAGAAGUAGGAGGAGGAGGAGGUGUUGUGUGUGACGAAACGAACGAUAUAAUUAAACGUAUAUACGUAUGUAUAACGUACCUCGGGUGAUUCGAUUUAAUAGAUUAUAUAUAUAUAUAUAAACGAUGUAAAUAUCGGUGUGCAAUAAGUCGACACUUCCUCGUUUAUGAUAGGCGAGAGUCCUUGUUAUUAUCACCGUUACGGUUAGCAUUACGAACCAUUAUCGUUACCGGAGCAUCGCUUAUCAUUAUCGUAUCUGCCGUGAGAGGAGGAACUCGUUGAAUUAUUCAUGCGGCGUUUAUGACGGAACUUUUUUUUUUCAUCUUCUUUUCGUUAGACUUCAAGUGUGAAAGAUAGAGAGAGAGAGAGAAAGAAGGGGUAGAGGAGGGGGGGGAGAAGAAGUACUAUACGUACAACGAAUGAAAAAGGGUCGCGCGAGUCUCGGGUAACCGUUCGCGAGUUUCGUUAUAAAUCAUCGCAUGACGUACGUACAUACGUUAACUCAAAUAUUUCUUUUAUUUUUAAUUGUUCUUCUUCUUUGUCUUUUCUCUCUCUCUCUCUCUCUCUCUUUUUCUUUUUUUCUAUUUUUAUUUCCGUUCGAAUUCCUUCACUCGCGAAAGAAAAAUCCUUUGCAUAUCGAACAAGCGAUGCGACGAUUCGGAAAUGACCGGAAAAAGACAACACAUAUUUACAUAUUACAUAUGCGUUUACACACACACACACACACAACACAACCAUUCUCUAACAUAUAUAUAUAUAUGCGGAAAGAAGAGUUGAUGAGAAAUAGGAGAACACACAUUACACGUUAAUAGCGUCUUCGUGUUAAUCUGUAUAUUACUUCUGUAAAUAAAUUAAUCGUGAUAUAAAUCGGUGCGAGUGAUGCGACACACACACAUAUUUUAAUUAUCGUUUGAUUAUUAUUAACAUACCGAGUUUUAGUAUCCUCGGCCUUAGCGAUCCGACGACUGUCUUACACACACACAUACAUACACACAUACAAUUGAUAUAGAUUUAUGAUUAUUAAGUAAAUAGUAAUGUAGUAAGAUUAGUAGUACACGCUCGUUGAUUUACGAGGAACGUUUCGUGUAAGCCGAUCCUCUCGAGAUAAAUCGUUGAAGAUAAAAGCGUGAUAGGUAUCGAUUUUUACUCGAGGGAGAUCGAUUUAAAUGAACGAGCUGCAGCGGCGAUAAGGUGUGUUACGUAAAAAAAAAAAAAGGUAAAAAAAAAAAAAAAAAAAAGGAAAAAAAAAAAAGAAAAAAAAAAAAAAGAAAAAAGAAAAUAAAUAAAUCGGGAGAGAAUCCGAUUCCCCGAUUGCAAUAGAAUGAAAACGAAUGAUUGCCGAACGUACGUAUAUAGUAAAUGACACAUACAUAUAUAUAUAUAUGUACGUAAAAGUAACGAUCAACGAAACAAAAAAAAAGAACAUGCUUUUCGAUCCGUGAGUUUAAUUAAAAAAAAAGAAAAAAAAGAAAAAGAGUCAACGAGACGCGUGAGCGAGCGAAUUUAAGCAAAUUUUUACCUCUCCUGCGAAAAUGACGUUCGUGUCGUUUAAACAAUCCGCACGUUUGAUCGCAAUAAAGGCCGUGCAAAGAAACUA
Long non-coding RNA from Polistes canadensis, 1983 nucleotides. RefSeq lists it as uncharacterized. NCBI's taxonomy places the organism in Eukaryota, Metazoa, Arthropoda, Insecta, Hymenoptera, Vespidae. The transcript has 3 exons. The record is from RefSeq and is a predicted model, not a curated record.